Molecule: ribosomal RNA, 305 nt
Filed under: uncultured bacterium
Lineage: Bacteria
Description: bacterial SSU rRNA
Rfam family: Bacterial small subunit ribosomal RNA
Source: RNAcentral
CCUACGGGGGGCAGCAGUGGGGAAUAUUGCACAAUGGGGGAAACCCUGAUGCAGCAACGCCGCGUGAGUGAAGAAGUAUUUCGGUAUGUAAAGCUCUAUCAGCAGGGAAGAAGAUGACGGUACCUGAGUAAGAAGCCCCGGCUAACUACGUGCCAGCAGCCGCGGUAAUACGUAGGGGGCAAGCGUUAUCCGGAUUUACUGGGUGUAAAGGGAGCGUAGACGGUGAGACAAGUCUGAAGUGAAAGCCCGGGGCUCAACCCCGGGACUGCUUUGGAAACUGCCUGACUGGAGUGCUGGAGAGGCAA